GCGCCCGUAGCUCAACUGGACAGAGCGUCGGUUUCCGGAACCGAAGGCUGUGGGUUCAAGUCCCUCCGGGCGUACCA
RNAcentral lists this transfer RNA (77 nucleotides) under Candidatus Saccharimonadota bacterium. RNAcentral describes it as "tRNA-Arg". It matches the Rfam family "tRNA". From Rfam's summary of the family: Transfer RNA (tRNA) molecules are approximately 80 nucleotides in length. Their secondary structure includes four short double-helical elements and three loops (D, anti-codon, and T loops). Further hydrogen bonds mediate the characteristic L-shaped molecular structure. tRNAs have two regions of fundamental functional importance: the anti-codon, which is responsible for specific mRNA codon recognition, and the 3' end, to which the tRNAs corresponding amino acid is attached (by aminoacyl-tRNA synthetases). tRNAs cope with the degeneracy of the genetic code in two manners: having more than one tRNA (with a specific anti-codon) for a particular amino acid; and 'wobble' base-pairing, i.e. permitting non-standard base-pairing at the 3rd anti-codon position. Lineage: Bacteria; Candidatus Saccharimonadota. The record is from RNAcentral.